RNAcentral lists this ribosomal RNA (637 nucleotides) under Trichoderma asperellum. RNAcentral's name for it is "eukaryotic LSU rRNA". The stretch from base 243 to 396 matches the Rfam family "5.8S ribosomal RNA". Lineage: Eukaryota; Fungi; Ascomycota; Sordariomycetes; Hypocreales; Hypocreaceae. The record is from RNAcentral.
GGAUGGAAGUAAAAAGUCGUAACAAGGUCUCCGUUGGUGAACCAGCGGAGGGAUCAUUACCGAGUUUACAACUCCCAAACCCAAUGUGAACGUUACCAAACUGUUGCCUCGGCGGGGUCACGCCCCGGGUGCGUCGCAGCCCCGGAACCAGGCGCCCGCCGGAGGAACCAACCAAACUCUUUCUGUAGUCCCCUCGCGGACGUAUUUCUUACAGCUCUGAGCAAAAAUUCAAAAUGAAUCAAAACUUUCAACAACGGAUCUCUUGGUUCUGGCAUCGAUGAAGAACGCAGCGAAAUGCGAUAAGUAAUGUGAAUUGCAGAAUUCAGUGAAUCAUCGAAUCUUUGAACGCACAUUGCGCCCGCCAGUAUUCUGGCGGGCAUGCCUGUCCGAGCGUCAUUUCAACCCUCGAACCCCUCCGGGGGAUCGGCGUUGGGGAUCGGGACCCCUCACACGGGUGCCGGCCCCGAAAUACAGUGGCGGUCUCGCCGCAGCCUCUCCUGCGCAGUAGUUUGCACAACUCGCACCGGGAGCGCGGCGCGUCCACGUCCGUAAAACACCCAACUUUCUGAAAUGUUGACCUCGGAUCAGGUAGGAAUACCCGCUGAACUUAAGCAUAUCAAUAAGCCGGAGGAAGGAU